UAUCUUGUCUGUCCCAGGGCCAGGACUUCUGCUACAGUGGCUUCCAGGAGAACAGUAACUCCCCGCUGUGGGUCCUGGGGACCAUCUUCGUCCGGGAGUAUUACAGUGUCUUUGACAGAACCCAUAACCGCGUGGGGCUGGCCAAGGCUGUCUGAUUGAACACUGACCACAUUUUCCCCAAACACACACAUGCACAAAUACAAGUAUACGCACACACAUGC
RNAcentral lists this long non-coding RNA (221 nucleotides) under Marmota monax (woodchuck). The record is from RNAcentral. Lineage: Eukaryota; Metazoa; Chordata; Mammalia; Rodentia; Sciuridae.